AGUGAACGCUGGCGGUAGGCCUAACACAUGCAAGUCGAACGGCAGCACAGUAAGGGCUUGCUCUUACGGGUGGCGAGUGGCGGACGGGUGAGGAAUACAUCGGAAUCUACUUUUUCGUGGGGGAUAACGUAGGGAAACUUACGCUAAUACCGCAUACGACCUACGGGUGAAAGCAGGGGAUCUUCGGACCUUGCGCGAUUGAAUGAGCCGAUGUCGGAUUAGCUAGUUGGCGGGGUAAAGGCCAACCAAGGCGACGAUCCGUAGCUGGUCUGAGAGGAUGAUAGGCACACUGGAACCGGAGAAAGGGCCAGGACUCCACCGGGAGGCACAAUUGGGAAAAAUGGAAAAAUGGGGGAAAGCUUGAUCCAGCCAUACGCCGUGGGUGAAGAAGGCCUUCGGUUUGUAAAGCCUUUUGUUGGGAAAGAAAAGCAGCAGGUUAAUACCCCGCUGUUCUGACGGUACCCAAAGAAUAAGCACCGGCUAACUUCGUG
RNAcentral lists this ribosomal RNA (491 nucleotides) under uncultured bacterium. RNAcentral's name for it is "partial 16S ribosomal RNA". It matches the Rfam family "Bacterial small subunit ribosomal RNA", at positions 29 to 507 of the family's 1533-position model. The record is from RNAcentral.